CUAAGCCUCACCGACGUUACCAUUACCUUCUACUAUCAUCUUCAACGUAUGGCUCCACAUCUAAGUCUCAUAAAGCUUCAUCAAUCACCGCUACUCUCAAAACGGCACACAUCUACUCACAUCUCAUCAGGUCGCCAAAUCGUAUAUUCAUCUGCUCCCUUGAUUCGCUACUUGCUCAAUUCCGUCUUCUUCAGUUGGUUGAAGUCGGAAGAAGUGAAAUAUGAGCAGCAGUAGCAGCUCCAGAGAGGGAUCUCCCGAAUGGCUUCUUCGAUCUUUCCGGGCACCCACCACCACUUCAUUGUUAUCACUCUCCUCCUCAUCCUCUGAAGCUGAUCGCCAAACAAAAAAAAAGCAAACGAUUACAUACAAAAUCAAGAAAAUCAACGCGCAAGGCUGUUACUUCUCUGUUUUACAGUGACGUCAUUCCAGAUUUGGGACUGUCGAACCUUCUGUUUUGCCUGAUCAGGAAGUGAGGAACACCACAAAGGGGAAAUUGGUUUCGACUCAUAGACAAACAGUCGAACGAGGAGGAUCUUCGCACGGCAUUCAUGGUUUUUGAGGUAUCUCAUUAUGAUUUAUGAUUCUCCCCCACUCGGCUACUCCACAGAUCCGUUGAAAGAUACGGCACCGCUCCGGCUUCUCUGUUCAUCACUUACCGGCUUGUGAGAGAUAUCUCGCACCCGUGGUUCUUAAAAUGGAGCUUGCGAACUAAUAGAGCUUACUAAGAUACUUUGCGGAUCAAAAUAGAGCUUACCUGUGAUUUCAUAGAAAAGCAGUUACUUUUUGUUUCUCUCAGUCUUAACUUUAUCCGUCUGAAACCAAGAAGACAUGCCUAAGUCAAAGCAAAACAGAAUAGUUAAUUUUUCAAGAAGAAAGGAAGGGAGAAUGAGCAGAGUAUUUCUAAUGGAAUCAAAGAGGCUGUCGAGAAAUAUAAUGAUGUCUUUGCUUUUUCUUUUGAAAACAUGAGAUACAUCAAAUUCAAAGGAGUUCAAGCAAAGUUUAUAAACAAUGGAAGGUUUAUUGGUUCAGGUUCUUCCUGGACUCAAACAAAGAGAUGCAGGUUGCUCUUGGUCGUUCUGCUUUUUUGAUGAAAUCCAUCCUGCCAUCUUUAAUACCUUCAGAGCUGUGUACUAUGCUUCUUAUAGUUGUUUUAUACUACUUGGUGUUUUCUCUUCAGAUGCGUUUUUAUAUGUUUAAGAAUAUUUUUCAGCUGCUUCAUGGUUAUGCUAGACUUCUCUUAUUACGGAUAUGCCAAGGUGAUCUCUCUCCUGAAGUCUUUUUUUUCCUAUAUUACUUUGGUGAAAACAACAGUCAAAAACUGUAUCCUUCUCUCUCAUGGUUUUCCCGUAUCUCUGUAACUUGAAACUGCCUCAAAAUGCUUCUUCUGGUUAUCCUUGCAACUUAUUCAACGCUUAUGAUGUUUUCGAAUUUUCAAGUGGUGGAAGCAUGCACUGCAGAAGAAUCAGUUUGUGAUUAAAACUAUUGCUAGCUUGAUAAACAAACAAGCUUUAGUGUGCAGAAGAAACGGUUUCUGAUUAAAGCUACUCCCAUAUUUUUGGUGUGUUUAUCUUCAGUACUAAUCAAGUUUGUUUUG
Molecule: long non-coding RNA, 1594 nt
Organism: Raphanus sativus (radish)
Lineage: Eukaryota; Viridiplantae; Streptophyta; Magnoliopsida; Brassicales; Brassicaceae
Exons: 7
Source: RefSeq, a predicted model, not a curated record